This 182-nucleotide ribosomal RNA is filed under the name Phytophthora plurivora. RNAcentral describes it as "partial 28S ribosomal RNA". It matches the Rfam family "Eukaryotic large subunit ribosomal RNA", at positions 1 to 176 of the family's 3401-position model. The record is from RNAcentral. Lineage: Eukaryota; Oomycota; Peronosporomycetes; Peronosporales; Peronosporaceae.
UUGGACCUGAUAUCAGGCAAGAUUACCCGCUGAACUUAAGCAUAUCAAUAAGCGGAGGAAAAGAAACUAACAAGGAUUCCCCUAGUAACGGCGAGUGAAGCGGGAAGAGCUCAAGCUUAAAAUCUCCGUGCAAGUUUUGCGCGGCGAAUUGUAGUCUAUAGAGGCGUGGUCAGCGUGGGCGC